AUUGAACGCUGGCGGCAGGCUUAACACAUGCAAGUCGAGCGGGGUGAUGGUGCUUGCACUAUCACUUAGCGGCGGACGGGUGAGUAAUGCUUAGGAAUCUGCCUAUUAGUGGGGGACAACAUCUCGAAAGGGAUGCUAAUACCGCAUACGUCCUACGGGAGAAAGCAGGGGAUCACUUGUGACCUUGCGCUAAUAGAUGAGCCUAAGUCGGAUUAGCUAGUUGGUGGGGUAAAGGCCUACCAAGGCGACGAUCUGUAGCGGGUCUGAGAGGAUGAUCCGCCACACUGGUACUGAGACACGGCCCCGACUCCUACGGGAGGCAGCAGUGGGGAAUAUUGGACAAUGGGGGGAACCCUGAUCCAGCCAUGCCGCGUGUGUGAAGAAGGCCUUAUGGUUGUAAAGCACUUUAAGCGAGGAGGAGGCUCUUUUGGUUAAUACCCAAGAUGAGUGGACGUUACUCGCAGAAUAAGCACCGGCUAACUCUGUGCCAGCCGCCGCAGUAA
This 503-nucleotide ribosomal RNA is filed under the name uncultured bacterium. RNAcentral describes it as "partial 16S ribosomal RNA". It matches the Rfam family "Bacterial small subunit ribosomal RNA", at positions 30 to 523 of the family's 1533-position model. The record is from RNAcentral.